GAUGAAGAACGUAGUGAAAUGCGAUAAGUAAUGUGAAUUGCAGAAUUCAGUGAAUCAUCGAAUCUUUGAACGCACAUUGCGCCCUCUGGUAUUCCGGGGGGCAUGCCUGUUCGAGCGUCAUUACAACCCUCAAGCUUUGCUUGGUAUUGGACAUUGCCAGUUUCUGGCAGGUCUUAAAAUCAGUGGCGGUGCCAUUUGGCUUCAAGCGUAGUAAUUCUUCUCGCUUUGGAGAUCCAGGUGGUUACUUGCCAAUAACCCCCAAUUUUUUCAGGUUGACCUCGGAUCAGGUAGGGAUACCCGCUGAACUUAAGCAUAUCAAUAAGCGGAGA
RNAcentral lists this unclassified non-coding RNA (329 nucleotides) under soil metagenome. RNAcentral describes it as "partial contains 5.8S ribosomal RNA, internal transcribed spacer 2, and large subunit ribosomal RNA". The stretch from base 1 to 120 matches the Rfam family "5.8S ribosomal RNA", at positions 35 to 154 of the family's 154-position model. The record is from RNAcentral.